This 403-nucleotide ribosomal RNA is filed under the name uncultured bacterium. RNAcentral's name for it is "bacterial SSU rRNA". It matches the Rfam family "Bacterial small subunit ribosomal RNA", at positions 355 to 775 of the family's 1533-position model. The record is from RNAcentral.
UGGGGAAUCUUGCACAAUGGGGGAAACCCUGAUGCAGCGACGCCGCGUGAGCGAUAAAGCCCUUCGGGGUGUAAAGCUCUUUCGGCAGGAACGAUAAUGACGGUACCUGCAGAAGAAGCUGCGGCUAACUACGUGCCAGCAGCCGCGGUAAUACGUAGGCAGCGAGCGUUGUUCGGAGUUACUGGGCGUAACGAGUGCGUAGGUGGUUCUCUAAGUUCGGUGUUAAAUCUCCCGGCUCAACUGGGAGGGUGCGCCGAAAACUGGAGGGCUGGAGUGCGGGAGAGGAGAGCGGAAUUCCUGGUGUAGCGGUGAAAUGCGUAGAUAUCAGGAGGAACACCUGUGGUGCAGACGGCUCUCUGGACCGCUACUGACACUGAGGCACGAAAGCGUGGGGAGCAAACAG